AGAGGCUGCCGUGUCAUCGCUGCUGGGGACGCGCUCUCGUGGUCUCGGUGGCUGGGGAUAUUCGGUGGCUCUCGUCAGCGACCGGCCGAGCCCCCUGCCCGCCCCGCCAGGGCUCUGCUCGGGGGGUCCCUACUCUGGGAGUCCCUCCUCUGAACACGGGCGACCUCCGGGCACAGAGAGAUUCCCGCAGAAGCCCCGGGACGGCGCUCCCAGACAUUGUCGCAACUUCCCGUCAGGUCUGUAGCUGUGUUCAUCCGGGCCCCACAGCUCACGCGUGACAUCUGCCACCCGGGACACGUCCCGCCGGUGUCUCGGGGUGUCCGCGCUGGUUCCCCGGGUGGGCUGGUAGCUCCCGACCGUGAUCUUGUGCAGGGAACGCGGCUGUUUCCAUAGCAACGAGCUGCCCAAACUGCCCCUCAGUGGGACCCCCACUGGCCACGCUCCAGCCUGCGGCCAUGAACACGGGGGUCCCUUGGUCGCUGCCCAGGAGAGGCAGCCGGCCCGGACGUUCCUGGUACCGAGAGGACUCGCAGUCUUCCAGAGUGCCCUGAGCUUUCCAGUCCCCUGUGGGACAGGGCAGCGGGACACUUGGGCAAGCGAUGGCUGCAUCGGUCCCGAGAGCACCCGCAGGCAGAAGAGAGAGCUGGACCCCUUCCCCUCACUGCCCUCCUGGGUGCCCACGUGCUGUGCCAGCAUGCAGGACCUUCUCACCGUGUGAGCGCUGGGUCAUUAGGGCUGAGAAUGACCCAACUCGUAACAGGAAUGCUGCCAAACGACCUCCAGAUGGUAACGGCUCUUGGAUUCAAACCAGCGCUCCAGAGGCAGAUUUAACUGCUGCACAUAACAACCUGUAUCAACAACACACGGAAAAAAUGUCCUAUGAAGAACAGGCCUGAAACGAUCCCUUCCUCUGCCAGACCUCGUUCCUGGACUCAGUGGAAGGUCACCAGCAGGCUGAGGACCCUCAGAACCAUUCCUGAAAUGGGUAAGUGCAGCUGCCACCACAGGGGCUGUCUGGCCACAUAUCCAUGGUGAGCAGCUCAUGGUCUGGCCAUGGGUGCACCACCCACACAAGCCACAGCAGCUACAUCCAUGACAAUUCAUCCCCUCUGUUAUUAUGACUUCUCUGGAAGGAUUACAGUUUCUCAAGAUACUGCUCUGGCCAAGCACUUCUCCUCUCGCACUGUGAAAUGGCACAGUCCCUUCCUGUUAGUUGUGGCUGUUUCAGACUUUCAAAGGAUUAACCUUUCCCAUCUAAAUGAGAAGAAAAGGGAAGAAAUGACUCACAGCCUCUCCCCAU
Long non-coding RNA from Calypte anna (Anna's hummingbird), 1300 nucleotides. RefSeq lists it as uncharacterized. NCBI's taxonomy places the organism in Eukaryota, Metazoa, Chordata, Aves, Apodiformes, Trochilidae. The transcript has 3 exons. The record is from RefSeq and is a predicted model, not a curated record.